CUUCCCCCCAUUUUUUUCAUUUCCCUCUCUUCUCCUGAAAACCCCUCCCUUUCGCCGACUUCCCCUUCAAUCUGUCCUCACCGAUCAUCCAUAGCAGAUCUGGAUCCACCAUGUUUUUCAUUUUUUUCAUUAAUCAGAUGUUGCACAGGCGUUGACCGGAUCUGGAAUUUCGAAGCUGGAAGGCUUGACUGGACUGGCAGGUGAUUCUGCGCAGGUGAAGGUCUUUACCGGAUCUGGAACAAAAGAGCGUCAAAGCUCACCAGAGGAACUCGGGUUGGGUAUAGAGAACCAGAUCUUGAAGCUCACCAGAGGAACUCACAUGGAGAAUAAAAGGUUGUGUCGAAGCUCACUGGAUUUGGCGUAGCCAUAGUAGAUUUACAGAUUUACUUCACGCGUAGCCAUAGCAGAUCUGGCGUUCUUCACACAUAGCCAUAGUAGAGCUAGUUGUCUACUUCUAGGAGAUCCACCAUCCAUUCCGUCGAAGCCCAACCGUUUGUUCCGUUGUUAAAGGUACAAGUCGAUCGUUGUAGCUCAGAUCCCUUUCGUCGUAGCUCAGUCGGUCGUUGUGGCUCAGAUCCUUGUUCUUUCAACUCAUAUCUAUUUCAAUCUUUAAUCUCUGGGUUAGAUCCGUUCAAAGACGUUUAGGAGUGAAGCUUGAGGUUUUUUUUUUCUACUGGGUUUCUACUGCGGAAACAAAUAUUUGACAGAGAAGUUGAGAAAUUUUAAUUUGGGGGUUAAGAAAAAGGUUCUAGCUAAGUAAUUUCUAUGAUUUUGAUAUUAUUUGAGAUUUAUGUUAAGGUACAAGUAGGGUAAUGAUGAAUUGGAAUCCAGGACAUAUUGUGCAAUGACUGUGAGCAGAAAGGCACAUCUCGGUUCUAUUGGCUAUAUCAUAAAUGUGGGUUUUAUGGAUCAUACAACAAUUUUUCAAGUUCAAUUUUUCGUGCCUAUAUGAAAAUCUUACCAUCUAUACCUCACUGAUAUCCUUGAGGUCUUUUACUAUGCCCAAAAAGUUGUACUUCAUCCAACAGGUCCACUUCUUGAUCAAGAAACUCAGACUCUAAAGCCUAGGGUGAGCUUGUGGGUGCUUUAGAAGGGGCUAUAGCAUCAGCUUCUCUUCUUGGAGUUCCUCUAGGACAUAAUUCAUCAUUAUUCAUUGUAGCAGAAUAGUUCUCGCACCUCGCUCAUUCGUGCACUUUCGACGGAUAUAAGGCCCGAAGAAAUUCCAAACGUGAAGAUGCUCUUUCUUCUGCAUUUACUACUGCAGAGUUGAAGCGUUACAUUGCAUAUGCAAAAACUGAAACCAAAGUUAAGUUUAUAAGCCAGAAAGGUAUUGGUGGACUCUUAUGUUGCUCUUUGCAGAGGAGAUACAACUCCUGGAAGUAGGGUUGCUUAUCGCAUGACAGUCAGGCAGCUUGAGGAUGAAGUAAUUGCUCGUAGUUAUUUGGAGACUCUGGUUCAACCGCGCCAUAUGCGUUUAGCAGUGACUUUACUGAAAACGUCAAUAAUCAGG
This is a non-coding RNA of Benincasa hispida (wax gourd), 1510 nucleotides long. The record is from RefSeq and is a predicted model, not a curated record. Lineage: Eukaryota; Viridiplantae; Streptophyta; Magnoliopsida; Cucurbitales; Cucurbitaceae.